Molecule: ribosomal RNA, 237 nt
Filed under: Triticum aestivum (bread wheat)
Lineage: Eukaryota; Viridiplantae; Streptophyta; Magnoliopsida; Poales; Poaceae
Description: partial small subunit ribosomal RNA
Source: RNAcentral
AUGAGAGGUCUCAUUUGGAAUUGUAGAGGGGCAGGCAAGAAAGGAAUGGCCACCUGCCUCUCAGACUUGAUUAGUGACCAUUCCCUGGAUUUCGAAACUAUGAAGAAAAAAAUUACUCCUAAAUGCAUUAGGAGGAUUGAUCCCUUUGGUCUGUUCCAUUGGGAAUGGAUUCCAUCUAUGGGAAAAUCUGGGGGCAUCCUGGGUGGUGUGAGACAUGAUACUUUUGAUAUCGUCUCC